CUCCUUAAUCAUCAAAGAGAUUUUUGUUGUCAAAAUAAACUGACAACAAACAAACAAACAGUUGUGGACGGAAAUCUAAACUGAAACAAAACAAUAAAAGGUAGAUUGCAUUUUGUAUAUUCAGCUCUGAUCUUUACAUAGAACGAUUUGGUCUCUCUAAUAACUUGAACAUCAAAGGUAACAUCAACAUUCACUUUGUCGUUAAAAUAAGUUUUCGCAGAUAUUUUAUUGUGUAUUUUGUUUGACCAAAAUCAUUAUUCAUUAGAUAUUUUGCAUAUGAAAAAAUAUGAAAAAAUGAAGAAAAAAUUCAAAUAUUAUAUGCAACAAAAUGAAACAAUAAAGAC
This 344-nucleotide long non-coding RNA is filed under the name Mytilus galloprovincialis (Mediterranean mussel). Lineage: Eukaryota; Metazoa; Mollusca; Bivalvia; Mytilida; Mytilidae. The record is from RNAcentral.